CUAACAAGUGUGGAUUUCUUUUUCUUUCCUUCUUUCUUUCUUUCCUAUAAAGCCGGAUGAAUGUUGCAUUACAUGGCCAGCAGAAUAUGAGUCAGUGCGUGUCUGUGCGCUGAGGUGGAGUGUCUCUCUCCCGCUGCACGGCUGUCUCGGUCCGCCACGAACCUUCCUACGCCAGGAUGCAGCUACUUAGAGUUGCGUGGGCACUGACCGGAGCGGCGAUCUGCUGCUUUCUCAUUCUCCUCAUUCACUCCCGCCUGCUCAAAGAAGGCCAGCUGGCAGCGGGGACAUGUGAGAUUGUGACGCUGGACAGGGACAGCAGCCAACCACGGCGGACCAUCGCCAGGCAGACGGCCCGCUGCGCCUGUAAGAAGGGCCAGAUCGCUGGAACUACAAGAGCCAGACCCGCCUGUGUGGACGCUGGCAUUGUUCGGAAAAAGCAGUGGUGCGAGAUGGUGCCAUGUUUGGAGGAUGAAGGCUGUGACCUGUUAGUCAAUAAAUCUGGCUGGACUUGUACACAGCCCGGAGGCCGAGUCAAAACCACCACGGCUCUAUGACGCGACAAGGGUCCCCCUCGACACUCUUGCACUAUGGAGAGCUUUGAUGACCCCCAUGACAGGCAGCCCAAAUCCACCAACCAACAUCACUACCACCUCCUCAACCACCACCACCACAACAGGUCAACCCACACCCCGGUCCCGCAAAGGCAGGAAUCAACACAAGCAGCUACACAGCGCCAUGGGCCUCAUUGGAGGCAGCAAGGUCUCAUAACACAGCCGGAGAUGGGAAAAGCCAGGGAGUGACUGUUUGAGGGAGUGAGCUCUCCCCCUGGAACACUGGACAAACUCGCUUAUAAACCACUUCGAUCUGGCCCCUCCGGGUUCCCGACCGCUCCCUCCUGCUAUCUGUUGUUGGGUCAACAUGUCGCCGUCCACCUCCUCUCUACUGUAUCUGCCUGCUCUGUGAAAUAAGCAGCACCCGCUGGUGCCGCGGAGGACCGGACACCUUCAGCGUCCCGCAGUUUUUCGUUUGCCUCAUUGGAAGUCCGCUGUCCGGAGCUGCUAGCUGCAUUGAACAAAGGGGGGGGGGGGGGUCGCCCUCAUCUCUCUUCAAGACUCUAGUGCAGGAGUUCCAGAGCAUCGACGGGAUCAUUACAGACCAAACCCUGUUGCUUCUUGGACCACCUCGCGAGACCGC
Molecule: RNA transcript, 1194 nt
Organism: Salarias fasciatus (jewelled blenny)
Lineage: Eukaryota; Metazoa; Chordata; Actinopteri; Blenniiformes; Blenniidae
Gene: tafa5a
Gene name: TAFA chemokine like family member 5a
Exons: 5
Source: RefSeq, a predicted model, not a curated record